CAAUAGCGUAUAUUUAAGUUGCUGCAGUUAAAAAGCUCGUAGUUGGAUUUCGGGUGGGAAUGGCCGGUCCGCCGUUUCGGUGUGCACUUGCUACGCCCACCUUGCUGCCGGGGACGUGCUCUUGAGUUCACGCUCGGGACACGGAGUCGGCGAGGUUACUUUGAGUAAAUUAGAGUGUUCAAAGCAGGCCUACGCUCUGAAUACAUUAGCAUGGAAUAACACGAUAGGACUCUGGCCUAUCUUGUUGGUCUGUAGGACCGGAGUAAUGAUUAAGAGGGACAGUCGGGGCAUUCGUAUUUCAUUGUCAGAGGUGAGAUUCUUGGAUUUAUGAAAGACGAACUACUGCGAAAGCAUUUGCCAAGGAUGUUUUCAUUGA
RNAcentral lists this ribosomal RNA (376 nucleotides) under uncultured eukaryote. Its description in RNAcentral is "partial 18S ribosomal RNA". It matches the Rfam family "Eukaryotic small subunit ribosomal RNA", at positions 592 to 976 of the family's 1831-position model. The record is from RNAcentral.